AUUGAACGCUGGCGGCAUGCCUUACACAUGCAAGUCGAACGGCAGCACGGGUGCUUGCACCUGGUGGCGAGUGGCGAACGGGUGAGUAAUACAUCGGAACAUGUCCUGUAGUGGGGGAUAGCCCGGCGAAAGCCGGAUUAAUACCGCAUACGAUCUACGGAUGAAAGCGGGGGACCUUCGGGCCUCGCGCGAUAGGGUUGGCCGAUGGCUGGUUAGCUAGUUGGUGGGGUAAAGGCCUACCGAGGCGACGAUCAGUAGCUGGUCUGAGAGGACGACCAGCCACACUGGGACUGAGACACGGCCCAGACUCCUACGGGAGGCAGCAGUGGGGAAUUUUGGACAAUGGGCGAAAGCCUGAUCCAGCAAUGCCGCGUGUGUGAAGAAGGCCUUCGGGUUGUAAAGCACUUUUGUCCGGAAAGAAAUCCUUGGCCCUAAUACGGUCGGGGGAUGACGGUACCGGAAGAAUAAGCACCGGCUAACUACGUG
This 486-nucleotide ribosomal RNA is filed under the name uncultured bacterium. RNAcentral's name for it is "partial 16S ribosomal RNA". It matches the Rfam family "Bacterial small subunit ribosomal RNA", at positions 29 to 507 of the family's 1533-position model. The record is from RNAcentral.